UACGUAGGGCGCAAGCGUUAUCCGGAAUUAUUGGGCGUAAAGAGCUCGUAGGCGGUUUGUCGCGUCUGCCGUGAAAGUCCGAGGCUCAACUUCGGAUCUGCGGUGGGUACGGGCAGACUAGAGUGCGGUAGGGGAGACUGGAAUUCCUGGUGUAGCGGUGAAAUGCGCAGAUAUCAGGAGGAACACCGAUGGCGAAGGCAGGUCUCUGGGCAUUAACUGACGCUGAGGAGCGAAAGCAUGGGGAGCGAACAGG
This 253-nucleotide ribosomal RNA is filed under the name uncultured bacterium. RNAcentral describes it as "partial 16S ribosomal RNA". It matches the Rfam family "Bacterial small subunit ribosomal RNA", at positions 524 to 776 of the family's 1533-position model. The record is from RNAcentral.